This 479-nucleotide ribosomal RNA is filed under the name uncultured organism. RNAcentral describes it as "partial 16S ribosomal RNA". It matches the Rfam family "Bacterial small subunit ribosomal RNA", at positions 331 to 801 of the family's 1533-position model. The record is from RNAcentral.
GUACACUCCUGCGGGAGGCAGCAGUGGGGAAUAUUGCACAAUGGGCGCAAGCCUGAUGCAGCCAUGCCGCGUGUAUGAAGAAGGCCUUCGGGUUGUAAAGUACUUUCAGCGGGGAGGAAGGCAAUACGGUUAAUAACCGUGUUGAUUGACGUUACCCGCAGAAGAAGCACCGGCUAACUCCGUGCCAGCAGCCGCGGUAAUACGGAGGGUGCAAGCGUUAAUCGGAAUUACUGGGCGUAAAGCGCACGCAGGCGGUCUGUCAAGUCGGAUGUGAAAUCCCCGGGCUCAACCUGGGAACUGCAUUCGAAACUGGCAGGCUUGAGUCUUGUAGAGGGGGGUAGAAUUCCAGGUGUAGCGGUGAAAUGCGUAGAGAUCUGGAGGAAUACCGGUGGCGAAGGCGGCCCCCUGGACAAAGACUGACGCUCAGGUGCGAAAGCGUGGGGAGCAAACAGGAUUAGAAACCCUUGUAGUCCCAUGAU